Sapajus apella (tufted capuchin) is the source of this 1442-nucleotide long non-coding RNA. RefSeq lists it as uncharacterized. Lineage: Eukaryota; Metazoa; Chordata; Mammalia; Primates; Cebidae. The transcript has 3 exons. The record is from RefSeq and is a predicted model, not a curated record.
CAGUAGAGACAGGAAGGAAACGGAAAGGAGAGAAAAGUUGGCAAAGGAGAGACAGCAGGAACAGGAAGGAUGUCUCGGGCCAGGGUUUAAGUUGGCAAAAGAGAAGAGAUCAAAGAGAGGGACAUUCUUACGUCAGAAGAGGAGGACUACUGAGGGAGUGCAAGUUAAAGUGGGAGGUGGGUGGGGGAGAGUUGUGGAAGAGGCGAGUGACGCGAGCAUCACAGCAUUACAGGCCACUGCCUUCUCGGAGGGAAAAGCGGGUUGUGGCGUGAACUGUCAGUCAUUAAAGAAGCGAAAUGAUAAUAUUAACAUGUUGAACAUUUUCCCCAUGGCAGACAACGUGCUAGGUGCUUUAAGCAGAUUACAUGAUUCACUGCUCACAGGACAUCAAGGAGGAAGAUACCAGCAUAAUCCCCAAUAAGCAGAUGAGGAAAAUGCGGCUUCGGGAUGCCACACACUCGGCGAACAUGCAGCCAGGAAUGAAUCCAAGCUGUCUACAUUUUGGAGAUACUUCCCUAAGUAGGAAGGACAUUAUUGAAACUAAAGAGAUAAAAUUCCUGUGGCAAGGAAGGGGCAGGAUUCUUUGGGGGUCACAGAGCAUAUAUACACCAGGGAGUUGGGAGGUGGGAAAAGAGAUAAAUCAAGAAAGGAGUCAGAACAGGAAGAGGGAAACAGACAGACAGACAGACUUGGGCUGUGAAUGGAGGAGCAGGGAGCCUUACUGUGGCGAAUCAGAGAGUUUGACACCAGGACUUCCCCGCCGCUGUCUCGGAGGGGCAGGUGCAGUAGCUGUCUGGCUCCAUAGUCAUCCUCAUUUUGUUCAACAUGGCUUGAUUAAUCUCCUUAGCCUUGCUUUUCACCCAAGGGUACUCUGCAGGGAAUAUGUUCAUUUAUGAAUCAAUCACCCACGCAUUCUUCUAAAUGUAUACGCCUGUUAAAUCAUAGUCGCCUGCAACCUUAGGGAGCAUGGGGCUUGAUACUCUGAGGGCCUGAUAUGUUCGGUUUUGCAUAGAGAGGUUUUGUCGCUCACUUCCUCAGAUGUUUUGGUCGUACAAUUUACUGCCCUUGACUCGGGAACUCUGUUUACAUAUGAUUUAAUUUUAGCUGUAUAUUUUGUCAAGUUCACGUUAGUUCUUCACCAGCACUGAUCAAAUAACUUUCUAAAGAAAAGAUAGAAAGGAAGGAGUUUUAGAUGCACUUAGCAAGAGCUGACACGCCAAUAAAUGAAAAGAAAAAAAAAGAACAUAAACAGCAUCCAAGGUAUAGGGAAAACUGUAUGUGUGAGGCUGAGGGUUCUGAGGAGAGUGAGCCUCGGUGUGACCGAGCCACUUCUCUCCCAUCAGCCCCAAGCAGGGGCUGCAGGCAUUCCCAGCCUCAUGCAGUAAGAGCUUACACAAAUGGUGGUCAUAGAAUAUUUGCUUUCUGCCAAUCGUAGCAUCAAA